CCUACGGGAGGCAGCAGUGAGGAAUAUUGGUCAAUGGACGGAAGUCUGAACCAGCCAUGCCGCGUGCAGGAAGACGGCUCUAUGAUUUUUAACCUGCUUUUGUACAAGGGUAAACCUGAAUACGUGUAUUUAGCUGUAAGUACUGUACGAAUAAGGAUCGGCUAACUCCGGGCCAGCAGCCGCGGUAAUACGGUGGGUGCGAGCGUUAAUCGGAAUUACUGUGCGUAAAGGGCGCGUAGGCGGUAUGUCAAGUCAAGGGUGAAAUCCCCGCGCUUAACCUGGGAACCGCCUAUGAAACUGGCUGACUGGAGUGUGUGAGAGGGAGGUGGAAUGCCAGGUGUAGGAGUGAAAUGCGUAGAUAUGAGGAAGAACAUCGAUGGCGAAGGCAACCAUCUGGGACGUAACUGACGCUGAGGAGCGAAAGCGUGGGGAGCAAACAGGAUUAGAUACCCUGGUAGUC
RNAcentral lists this ribosomal RNA (460 nucleotides) under uncultured bacterium. Its description in RNAcentral is "partial 16S ribosomal RNA". It matches the Rfam family "Bacterial small subunit ribosomal RNA", at positions 338 to 795 of the family's 1533-position model. The record is from RNAcentral.